Molecule: ribosomal RNA, 489 nt
Filed under: uncultured bacterium
Lineage: Bacteria
Description: bacterial SSU rRNA
Rfam family: Bacterial small subunit ribosomal RNA
Source: RNAcentral
AUUGAACGCUGCGGCAUGCCUAACACAUGCAAGUCAACGGCAGCACAGCAGUAGCAAUACGUGUGGGUGGCGAGUGGCGGACGGGUGAGGAAUACGUCGGAAUCUGCCCAGUCGUGGGGGAUAACUAGCCGAAAGGUUAGCUAAUACCGCAUACGACCGAGAGGUGAAAGCGGGGGACCGCAAGGCCUCGCGCGAUUGGAUGAGCCGACGUCGGAUUAGCUAGUUGGCGGGGUAAAGGCCCACCAAGGCGACGAUCCGUAGCUGGUCUGAGAGGAUGAUCAGCCACACUGGAACUGAGACACGGUCCAGACUCCUACGGGAGGCAGCAGUGGGGAAUAUUGGACAAUGGGCGCAAGCCUGAUCCAGCAAUGCCGCGUGUGUGAAGAAGGCCUUCGGGUUGUAAAGCACUUUUAUCAGGAACGAAAAGCGUUGGAUUAAUACUCUGACGUGCUGACGGUACCUGAGGAAUAAGCACCGGCUAACUUCGUG